Molecule: small nuclear RNA, 112 nt
Organism: Heterocephalus glaber (naked mole-rat)
Lineage: Eukaryota; Metazoa; Chordata; Mammalia; Rodentia; Bathyergidae
Source: Ensembl
GUGCUCACUUCAGCGGCACAUAUACUAAAAUCGGAACAAUACCAUAAAGAGAAGAUUAGCAUGGCCCUUGCGCAAGAAUGACACGCAAAUUCAUGAAGCGUUCCAUUCUUUA